Long non-coding RNA from Lampris incognitus (smalleye Pacific opah), 202 nucleotides. RefSeq lists it as uncharacterized. Lineage: Eukaryota; Metazoa; Chordata; Actinopteri; Lampriformes; Lampridae. The record is from RefSeq and is a predicted model, not a curated record. The transcript has 3 exons.
GAAACACCGAGGGUGGUCUGAAAGGACGCGGAAGCAGGCUAUUAUAUCAGAGAUGCUUCGCUGUGACAAUACUCCCUCAGCCACAUUGAGCUGGAAUGCAUGCACCAUACAGGGUAUUAUUUCCAACAUGUCUGCGUACAGCCGUCAGGUGCACCAUGACUACCACCGAAGCAUUGCAGCAUUUACAGGUGGUGGACAGCGG